RNAcentral lists this ribosomal RNA (599 nucleotides) under Choiromyces alveolatus. RNAcentral's name for it is "eukaryotic LSU rRNA". It matches the Rfam family "Eukaryotic large subunit ribosomal RNA", at positions 66 to 680 of the family's 3401-position model. The record is from RNAcentral. Lineage: Eukaryota; Fungi; Ascomycota; Pezizomycetes; Pezizales; Tuberaceae.
CAACAGGGAUUGCCUCAGUAACGGCGAGUGAAGCGGCAAGAGCUCAAAUUUGAAAUCUGGCGUCCCCGACGUCCGAGUUGUAAUUUGGAGAGGCAUCUUCUGGAGGGGCCCAGCCUAUGUUCCUUGGAACAGGACGUCAUAGAGGGUGAGAAUCCCGUUCUCGGCUGGAUGUCCCCACCUGCAUGUAGUGUCUUCUACGAGUCGAGUUGUUUGGGAAUGCAGCUCAAAAUGGGUGGUAAAUUUCAUCUAAAGCUAAAUAUUGGCGAGAGACCGAUAGCGCACAAGUAGAGUGAUCGAAAGAUGAAAAGCACUUUGAAAAUAGAGUCAAACAGUACGUGAAAUUGUUGAAAGGGAAGCGCUUGAGACCAGACUCGGCCCUGGACAAACAACGUAGGUUGUGGUGGGUGCACUUGCCCAGGGUCGGGCCAGCAUCAGUUGGGACGGCGGGAUAAAGGCCGCGGGAAUGUGGCUCCUCUCGGGGAGUGUUAUAGCCCUGGGCGCCAUGCCGUCAGUCCCGACUGAGGACCGCGCUUCGGCAAGGAUGCUGGCGUAAUGGUCUUCAGCGACCCGUCUUGAAACACGGACCAAGGAGUCUGACG